Molecule: ribosomal RNA, 782 nt
Filed under: uncultured Sporosarcina sp.
Lineage: Bacteria; Bacillati; Bacillota; Bacilli; Caryophanales; Caryophanaceae
Description: bacterial SSU rRNA
Rfam family: Bacterial small subunit ribosomal RNA
Source: RNAcentral
GGAGGCAGCAGUAGGCAAUCUUCCACAAUGGACGAAAGUCUGAUGGAGCAACGCCGCGUGAGUGAAGAAGGUUUUCGGAUCGUAAAACUCUGUUGUAAGGGAAGAACACGUACGAGAGUAACUGCUCGUACCUUGACGGUACCUUAUUAGAAAGCCACGGCUAACUACGUGCCAGCAGCCGCGGUAAUACGUAGGUGGCAAGCGUUGUCCGGAAUUAUUGGGCGUAAAGCGCGCGCAGGCGGUCCUUUAAGUCUGAUGUGAAAGCCCACGGCUCAACCGUGGAGGGUCAUUGGAAACUGGGGGACUUGAGUACAGAAGAGGAAAGCGGAAUUCCACGUGUAGCGGUGAAAUGCGUAGAGAUGUGGAGGAACACCAGUGGCGAAGGCGGCUUUCUGGUCUGUAACUGACGCUGAGGCGCGAAAGCGUGGGGAGCAAACAGGAUUAGAUACCCUGGUAGUCCACGCCGUAAACGAUGAGUGCUAAGUGUUAGGGGGUUUCCGCCCCUUAGUGCUGCAGCUAACGCAUUAAGCACUCCGCCUGGGGAGUACGGCCGCAAGGCUGAAACUCAAAGGAAUUGACGGGGGCCCGCACAAUCGGUGGAGCAUGUGGUUUAAUUCUAAGCUAACGCGAAGAACCUUACCAGGUCUUGACAUCCCCCUGACCGGCUUAGAAAUAAUUCUUUCCCUUCUGGGACAGUGGUGACAGGUGGUGGCUGGCUGUUCUUCAGCUCAUGUCGUGAGAUGUUGAGUUAAAUCCCGCAAUCAAGCGCAACUCUUGGUUCU